CAUUACAACGAUGAAGCACGUUGUUUUGAUUCCUAUUGAAAUGUAGAUAUAGGCUUGGUCGAGCCAUGAAUGUAAUUGUCAAAUCAAGCCGAAAUAAGGCAGAAAUCAUUCUUCACUAUUACAAGUAUAACAAGAAAAAGAGGUUAUUAGAGGACUAUUACCAUUACUGAGGUUAAAGUUCAAGUCUUUUCAUCAUGAUCACCAGAUUUAUGUUGUCCUGGAUAAUUUGGAUGGAAAUCGACUACAAUAAAACCAAUACCAACACGUA
Molecule: long non-coding RNA, 268 nt
Organism: Pecten maximus
Lineage: Eukaryota; Metazoa; Mollusca; Bivalvia; Pectinida; Pectinidae
Exons: 2
Source: RefSeq, a predicted model, not a curated record